RNAcentral lists this ribosomal RNA (441 nucleotides) under uncultured bacterium. RNAcentral's name for it is "partial 16S ribosomal RNA". It matches the Rfam family "Bacterial small subunit ribosomal RNA", at positions 338 to 795 of the family's 1533-position model. The record is from RNAcentral.
CCUACGGGUGGCUGCAGUGGGGGAUAUUGCACAAUGGGGGGAACGCUGAUGCAGCGACGCCGCGUGGGUGAAGGUGUAUUUUGGUAUGUAAAGCUCUAUCGGCAGGGAAGAAUUUAGACGGUACCUGACCAAGAAGCCCCGGCGAACGACGUGCCAGCAGCCGCGGUAAUACGUAGGGGGCAAGCGUUAUCCGGAUUCACUGGGUGUAAAGGGAGCGUAGACGGGCAGGCAAGCCUGGGGUGAAAGCCCGGGGCCCAACGCCGGGACUGCUCUGGGAACUGUCCGGCUGGAGUGCGGGUGGGGCAGGCGGAAUGCGUGGUGUAGCGGUGAAAUGCGUAGAUAUCAGGAAGAACACCGGCUGCGAAGGCAGCCUGCUGGACCGCGACUGACGCUGAUGCUCGAAAGCGCGGGUAUCGAACAGGAUUAGAUACCCGUGUAGUC